GUGAGUGACCUGCCUUUUAGACUGGAACAACUUACCGAAAGGUGAGCUAAUGCCGGAUGAGUUAUAUAAGUGCAUGUUUAUAUAGGAAAAGUUGGGGAGACCUGACGCUGAAAGAUGGACUCGCGUCCCAUUAGCUAGUUGGUAGGGUAAUGGCCUACCAAGGCGACGAUGGGUAGCCGGCCUGAGAGGGUGGCCGGCCACACUGGGACUGAGACACGGCCCAGACUCCUACGGGAGGCAGCAGUGGGGAAUUUUGCGCAAUGCUCGUAAGAGUGACGCAGCGACGCCGCGUGAAUGACGAAGGCCUUCGGGUCGUAAAGUUCUUUCGACAGGGAAGAAAAUGCCUAUAAGUAACUGUGUAUGUAUUGACGGUACCUGUAUAAGCAGCCCCGGCUAACUCCGUGCCAGCAGCCGCGGUAAUACGGAGGGGGCGAGCGUUGUUCGGAGUGACUGGGCGUAAAGAGCACGUAGGCGGUGUUGUAAGUCAUUAGUCAAAGACUAGAGCUCAACUUUAGUAAGGCUAGUGAUACUAUAAUACUAGAGUAUCAGAGAGGAUUGCAGAAUUCCUGGUGUAGCGGUGAAAUGCGUAGAUAUCAGGAGGAAUACUGUUAGCGAAGGCGGCAAUCUGGCUGGAAACUGACGCUGAGGUGCGAAAGCGUGGGUAGCAAACAGGAUUAGAUACCCUGGUAGUCCACGCUGU
This 700-nucleotide ribosomal RNA is filed under the name uncultured bacterium. RNAcentral describes it as "bacterial SSU rRNA". It matches the Rfam family "Bacterial small subunit ribosomal RNA", at positions 117 to 803 of the family's 1533-position model. The record is from RNAcentral.